This 87-nucleotide transfer RNA is filed under the name Shewanella marisflavi. Its description in RNAcentral is "tRNA-Leu". It matches the Rfam family "tRNA". From Rfam's summary of the family: Transfer RNA (tRNA) molecules are approximately 80 nucleotides in length. Their secondary structure includes four short double-helical elements and three loops (D, anti-codon, and T loops). The record is from RNAcentral. RNAcentral also lists the same sequence under 11 other names. Lineage: Bacteria; Pseudomonadati; Pseudomonadota; Gammaproteobacteria; Alteromonadales; Shewanellaceae.
GCAGAUGUGGUGGAAUUGGUAGACACGCUAGCUUCAGGUGCUAGUGGCUUAACGGCCGUGCGAGUUCAAGUCUCGCCAUCUGUACCA